GUCGCCACGAGGGGGCGCCAAGUGAGCGUUCGCUAUGGCGACGGGUGAAAAUGUCUCUUGAUACGCUGUAUUUUGUAAAAAUUAUAAAAAGAAAACGCUUCAUUUAUCAUUUUUUACGUUUCCAAAAGACGCAGAAAAGUACUGUAUUUGCUUUGCUUAGUUAGGAAUACGAAUCUAAUAUUAUGUUGAGACGUAAUUUACGUGGAAAAAUUAUAUGACUUGUGUUUACAGACGAACUCAAUGGUUGGAUUUUGUCAAAAGAGUCGAUCUGCUAGACAAAUCUCCGAAAAUGUUACGUAGAAACUAUCAGGUAUGUGCAGCCCACUUUGAAGACGACCACUUUAUGAAUAAGACGAAAAAUAAACUUGUUUGGGAUGCUCUUCCAGCUAUUGAAAGAAAUCCAUCUUGGAAAGAUGUAAAAAGGUAGAUCUGCAACAAUUUGAUAAUGGUGAAAUCAAAACUAUUUUGAAUUCAUCUGAAAAUAUUCAGAAUAAUAUCAAUAUGUCAGAUGGCAUAUCUAAAAUCAGUCAACAGUAUUCUGAGGAAUAAUUUCAACAGAAAUAUCACCCAAGAAAAAGAGAUUUAUCUCAUCUAAUCCAUCACCAAGGACUGAGCAUUUAACAUCAUAUAAGCUUUUACGAGGGCUGUUCGAAAAGUUCGCGGCCUUGCCUAUAUGCGGCGCUGCGAUCAAUUUAAUUUUUGGCGGGAAUAAUGCAGCCAUCCUUGCUAAAGAUACGAUACCAAUUUCCGCUUG
This is a long non-coding RNA of Centruroides sculpturatus (bark scorpion), 754 nucleotides long. RefSeq lists it as uncharacterized. The transcript is spliced from 4 exons. Lineage: Eukaryota; Metazoa; Arthropoda; Arachnida; Scorpiones; Buthidae. The record is from RefSeq and is a predicted model, not a curated record.